Molecule: non-coding RNA, 31 nt
Filed under: Mus musculus (house mouse)
Lineage: Eukaryota; Metazoa; Chordata; Mammalia; Rodentia; Muridae
Source: RNAcentral
UGGCAGCGUUCAUGUCGUAAUAGUUGAUGUA